GACGAACGCUGGCGGCGUGCCUAAUACAUGCAAGUCGAGCGGACCAAAGGGAGCUUGCUCCUGGAGGUCAGCGGCGAACGGGUGAGUAACACGUGGGCAACCUGCCUGUAAGACUGGGAUAACAUCGAGAAAUCGGUGCUAAUACCGGAUAAUAAAAAGAACUGCAUGGUUCUUUUUUGAAAGAUGGUUUCGGCUAUCACUUACAGAUGGGCCCGCGGCGCAUUAGCUAGUUGGUGAGGUAACGGCUCACCAAGGCAACGAUGCGUAGCCGACCUGAGAGGGUGAUCGGCCACACUGGGACUGAGACACGGCCCAGACUCCUACGGGAGGCAGCAGUAGGGAAUCUUCCGCAAUGGACGAAAGUCUGACGGAGCAACGCCGCGUGAGUGAUGAAGGUUUCGGAUCGUAAAACUCUGUUGUUAGGGAAGAACAAGUGCCGUUCGAAAGGGCGGCACCUUGACGGUACCUAACGAGAAAGCCACGGCUAACUACGUGCCAGCAGCCGCGGUAAA
RNAcentral lists this ribosomal RNA (512 nucleotides) under uncultured bacterium. Its description in RNAcentral is "bacterial SSU rRNA". It matches the Rfam family "Bacterial small subunit ribosomal RNA", at positions 28 to 524 of the family's 1533-position model. The record is from RNAcentral.